UUUAGUUCCCCUGACUUUUCCAUAUGGCUCCUGAUGUGGCACAUUGUAGUGUUGGAAUCUCUGCUUCAGUGAGCCUGAAAAUGUUGAGAACACAACUGGAGGAAAUCUGGAACAUGUUUUCAAGUAGGAACUGGCUUUAGUUUUUAGUCAAACCAUAUGGAUUUUAACUUCGCAUUGAUGUUCUAUGAUCUGUGAAAGGAGUUCUUACUAACACCUACUUGGUUGAGGGUUUCAAAGUUUCUUUAAUUUGAC
This 252-nucleotide unclassified non-coding RNA is filed under the name Hevea brasiliensis (rubber tree). The record is from RNAcentral. Lineage: Eukaryota; Viridiplantae; Streptophyta; Magnoliopsida; Malpighiales; Euphorbiaceae.